GUAUAUGCAUAUAUAUGCAUGCCUUCUUAAUUUUUGUAGGUAUAUAGUUCACACAUAUGGCACUGUAUCCACUGGACAUCUGAGGUUCUAUCAGGCCACUAGGAGACUAGAAAUCAACAUUAUGAAGCUUCCACUGAAGAUAGAGACAAGUGAUGUCAUCCGAGAAGUAAAUCACCAGUCAAGGUGACAUUGAAGGCUAUCCAUCAUAUUUUAUAACCCAAAUGCUGCCAUUGGGUACAUAUUUUCUGUUUUGGGCAAAGACAACCCGGACUGGGUUUCUUUGUAAGAAAAGCAAUCUUCUCACACUUUGAACGCAAGUGGCUGACUUGUAAGGUAAUGUUCCUAUCAGUGAAAAUACUCUCUUCUCAUUUCAAUAGUACAAUCAGCUGUUACUUUGUUACAAAUAUGGUGGUGACUUUCUUCCUACAGAGGAAGCAAGCCUUGAUAGUUCUUGUUUUUCCCCUCAGUAAUUGUCUGUAACUUACUCACUAUAAACUCUUGUUUGUUCUCUUUGCCUCUCUUCUCCUCUCCUUCCUUUCCUUUACCCCCUUUUAAUAAAUGUAAAUUCCAC
RNAcentral lists this long non-coding RNA (571 nucleotides) under Mus spicilegus (steppe mouse). RNAcentral describes it as "lncRNA (ENSMSIG00000013753.1)". Lineage: Eukaryota; Metazoa; Chordata; Mammalia; Rodentia; Muridae. The record is from RNAcentral.